GAUGAACGCUGGCGGCGUGCCUAAUACAUGCAAGUCGAGCGAACGGACGAGAAGCUUGCUUUUCUGAUGUUAGCGGCGGACGGGUGAGUAACACGUGGAUAACCUACCUAUAAGACUGGGAUAACUUCGGGAAACCGGAGCUAAUACCGGAUAAUAUUUUGAACCGCAUGGUUCAAAAGUGAAAGACGGUCUUGCUGUCACUUAUAGAUGGAUCCGCGCUGCAUUAGCUAGUUGGUAAGGUAACGGCUCACCAAGGCAACGAUGCAUAGCCGACCUGAGAGGGUGAUGGCCACACUGGAACUGAGACACGGUCCAGACUCCUACGGGAGGCAGCAGUAGGGAAUCUUCCGCAAUGGGCGAAAGCCUGACGGAGCAACGCCGCGUGAGUGAUGAAGGUCUUCGGAUCGUAAAACUCUGUUAUUAGGGAAGAACAUAUGUGUAAGUAACUGUGCACAUCUUGACGGUACCUAAUCAGAAAGCCACGGCUAACUACGUG
This 496-nucleotide ribosomal RNA is filed under the name uncultured bacterium. Its description in RNAcentral is "partial 16S ribosomal RNA". It matches the Rfam family "Bacterial small subunit ribosomal RNA", at positions 28 to 507 of the family's 1533-position model. The record is from RNAcentral.